Molecule: non-coding RNA, 199 nt
Filed under: Secundilactobacillus kimchicus
Lineage: Bacteria; Bacillati; Bacillota; Bacilli; Lactobacillales; Lactobacillaceae
Description: Lactobacillus kimchicus T-box sequence
Rfam family: T-box leader
About the family: Uncharged tRNA acts as the effector for transcription antitermination of genes in the T-box leader family. T-boxes are found upstream of many aminoacyl-tRNA synthetase genes and some amino acid biosynthetic genes usually in Gram-positive bacteria.
Source: RNAcentral
AAUGAAGCGAAGAAGCAUUUAGUAGAACGAUGGGCUCCGAAGUAGAAAGUUGGCGGAUGCUGGAAGCCAACCGUCCCGGUUGUUCGAAUUACAGUGUGGAGCUUUCGAUGCUUUCGACGGGUCAUUCCGUUAACGAUGACGAGAGAUGCAGGUACCUGCAUAACUUGGGUGGUAACGCGGAAACUAUUUCGUCCCUAUU